Prionailurus viverrinus (fishing cat) is the source of this 1024-nucleotide long non-coding RNA. RefSeq lists it as uncharacterized. The transcript has 3 exons. Lineage: Eukaryota; Metazoa; Chordata; Mammalia; Carnivora; Felidae. The record is from RefSeq and is a predicted model, not a curated record.
CAGAAGCCUGGAGCCUGGGCGGCAUCUGAAAGAGGGGACCUGGGAAACGCGCUGGCGGCGGGAGAGGGAGGGAGGAUCCCGUACUGGUUAGUGCUGGACUGUGAGAAUCCCGCGGAUUCGGGAAUAGCUCAAGCGGGCGGGUGAGUGCUGUCACCGCCGUUGGCGCGUUCGUGUCGGGUUGGUCUUUAGGUCUUAAACUGUUUAUCUGGAGUGUUUUUCUGCCCUGCUGCGUCUAUCUCUGCCUAUCUAUAUGUCCCUCUAUCUCUCUGUGUCUGUAUCUGUCUCUGCGCCCCGUAUCGCUUUGUGUCGUGGUCUCUGUCUACGUCUGUCUCGUAAGUGUCUCUGCCUUUCGUAUGUCUCCAUGCUUGGCCCCUGUACCUACGUGCCACUGUUGCCUCUCCUGAGUCUCUGUGUAUUUCGGUCUCUUCUAGGAGGAAUCUCGCUACUGGGCCGACGGGCGCUCACCAGGGUAGACCCUCAACCCUGCUGCUGAAGCCGAAACUCGGGCUCAAAGCGCCUGCCGCGCCACGCAGAUCUCCUGGCUCUGGAGGCUAGGGCUGCGCGUGCUGUGUAGGAGGAAAUGAAUGGCGGCCACGCGGGGGGCGCCCUGGCUGCAGGUGACACGGGGAAGCCCGGAGCGCCUGAGGACGCGGCGCCAGCCUGCUUGUAGGUGACAAGGGGAAGAGGCGAGUGCCACUGCGAUGCUGCAUCAGAGUGAACAUGAAUAACUCCAGAAACUUGUUCCACAAGAGCAACCCAUGUUAAAACCUUAUGCAGCAAGCUGAGGACUGACGUGAGUGCUGAGAAAUUGAUUAUGGAUUUGCCCCCAUUCUGAGUCUUCUCACGUCAAAUUCAUGAACUCUGCUGGGGAAGAGGGACGAGGAUGAGGCACUUUAAAAAAAAAAAAAAAACUGUGGCAAAAAGCCUGGGCACUCUUCAGUGCAGCAGACUGCAACACCGCCAGGCCUGAUUAAGGAAUGACAAUAUGGAAGGCAGAUGGCAGAUGCGUAGAUGCCACACUACU